RNAcentral lists this ribosomal RNA (497 nucleotides) under uncultured bacterium. RNAcentral describes it as "partial 16S ribosomal RNA". It matches the Rfam family "Bacterial small subunit ribosomal RNA", at positions 28 to 507 of the family's 1533-position model. The record is from RNAcentral.
GAUGAACGCUGGCGGCGUGCCUAAUACAUGCAAGUCGAGCGAACGGACGAGAAGCUUGCUUCUCUGAUGUUAGCGGCGGACGGGUGAGUAACACGUGGAUAACCUACCUAUAAGACUGGGAUAACUUCGGGAAACCGGAGCUAAUACCGGAUAAUAUUUUGAACCGCAUGGUUCAAAAGUGAAAGACGGUCUUGCUGUCACUUAUAGAUGGAUCCGCGCUGCAUUAGCUAGUUGGUAAGGUAACGGCUUACAAAGGCAACGAUGCAUAGCCGACCUGAGAGGGUGAUCGGCCACACUGGAACUGAGACACGGUCCAGACUCCUACGGGAGGCAGCAGUAGGGAAUCUUCCGCAAUGGGCGAAAGCCUGACGGAGCAACGCCGCGUGAGUGAUGAAGGUCUUCGGAUCGUAAAACUCUGUUAUUAGGGAAGAACAUAUGUGUAAGUAACUGUGCACAUAUUGACGGUACCUAAUCAGAAAGCCACGGCUAACUACGUG